ACCUACACUUAAUGAAGCCUCUGCAAUUGUUUUAGCUGCAGCUGAACAAGCUCGUUUGAAAGCUGAUCUUCAGCAACCUGAACAAGAAGGAACAAGGAAACCUUGGGAUCCCAUUCCAUUCAAUGAAGUAGAAAGGAAGAAGAAAAUGAAGAAUGACAGAAAGCAACAGCCUACUAAACAAUUAGAGAGUCUUAAGUAUCCAGUUUUAGAUGCUGAAAAGGCAGAGGAAGCUCGACUGAAGAAGAAUAUGAGCGCCGAAAAAGCUAAUGCAUAUGCUGAGACUCUCCAACUUCUUUCUGAGCUACAG
This is a long non-coding RNA of Papaver somniferum (opium poppy), 307 nucleotides long. RefSeq lists it as uncharacterized. Lineage: Eukaryota; Viridiplantae; Streptophyta; Magnoliopsida; Ranunculales; Papaveraceae. The record is from RefSeq and is a predicted model, not a curated record. The transcript has 3 exons.